CACAAUUGGAUCGCUCUGAGUGUUUAAAUUAUUGCACGAAACAUAUAAUUGCUGUUUAUGUUGGGUGACCAGUACUGUCAAUACAUUUAACCAAUCUAAAUCAGGAAUUACCGGUUAACAGAUCGAAUUUAAUCUACUGGUGAGAUCAAAAAGAAUGGAACUAAAGCGUAUGGUUCCGAAAUCCAACUUCAACCCAGUGGCCAUUCGUCUUUGACCCUCUCCUGGUGGACCAACCUCAAUCAACCCCCUUCCCCCUCACCGUCAUCCACUUGUGUGAUAAUACACCUCAUAGACGCAAUAUCAAACUCCAUUCUUCAAAGUCACGUGACGACUCGGGAUUCAAUUACAUUACAACAUAUUAGACCAUUCGAUAUCUUACAACAGAAUGAGCGGCAUCAAGAAAUGUUCCGAGUUAACAACAAUUCUGACAAUUCCGCAAAACCUCGCCAAGAAAAAACUCAAUUAGAAAAAUUUCGCAUUACAUCGAGAAGUUCAGAUAUAACAUUUCAAAUCAUGGUUCAAAUGUUCAGAUUUAACAAGGAAGCUUCCAAAAUCUCAUUCAACAAAUCGGAAAUCGAGAACCCGACUUCCAAUUAUAAUUAUUCAUCGGUCGAUCAAUCCUACAUCAGUAAACAAGAAGAAUUUUCAUGUGGUUUGCACCUUCUCAAUGUGUAUGGUCAAAACUCAAUCAAUCUAAAAAACGACAAUGUCCAAAUUGAUUCCAAAAUUCUUCACAUAUCUGAUAACUUCAAAGAACAGAAAACGAGGAGAUACUACAACACAGUAAAUACACCUAAAUGCACUUUCGCAACUGAUAAGUACGGAAAAAUCACACAUACGGCUCAGGCAGAAAUUGAAACAUAGCCGCAUAAUCUUAACUUUUAACUAAUUGUCAAAUUUGCGAAAUUCGAAAGUUUCAAAUAAAUGUAAGCAUCAGUGACUUGAUUUUGAUAUGAAGAUUUUAAUUUACAUAACGAUUGUUAAUCUUUA
Long non-coding RNA from Symsagittifera roscoffensis, 990 nucleotides. RefSeq lists it as uncharacterized. The transcript is spliced from 2 exons. The record is from RefSeq and is a predicted model, not a curated record. Lineage: Eukaryota; Metazoa; Xenacoelomorpha; Acoela; Convolutidae.